AGAAGAAGAAGAAGAAGAAGAAGAAGAAGAAGAAGAAGUAGCAGCAGCAGCAGCCGAUUCUCCCAGGACAAUAUUUGAAUGGAUUCUUCAAACUCAAAUUCUCCCCAAGCAAAUAGCACUAGUGGCACUUCUUCAAAAACUAGGGAGGAAGAAUUUAAUCCUCUGUGGAGAUAUGUAACUAAAC
Long non-coding RNA from Hevea brasiliensis (rubber tree), 184 nucleotides. RefSeq lists it as uncharacterized. NCBI's taxonomy places the organism in Eukaryota, Viridiplantae, Streptophyta, Magnoliopsida, Malpighiales, Euphorbiaceae. The transcript has 2 exons. The record is from RefSeq and is a predicted model, not a curated record.